UACAGAGGGUGCGAGCGUUAAUCGGAAUUACUGGGCGUAAAGCGCACGUAGGCGGCUUUCCAAGUCAGUUGUGAAAUCCCCGGGCUCAACCUGGGAACUGCAUCCGAGACUGCAUUGCUAGAGUAUGGGAGAGGAAAGCGGAAUUUCUGGUGUAGCAGUGAAAUGCGUAGAUAUCAGAAGGAACAUCAGUGGCGAAGGCGGCUUUCUGGACCAAUACUGACGAUCAGGUGCGAAAGCGUGGGGAGCAAACAGG
RNAcentral lists this ribosomal RNA (253 nucleotides) under uncultured bacterium. RNAcentral describes it as "partial 16S ribosomal RNA". It matches the Rfam family "Bacterial small subunit ribosomal RNA", at positions 524 to 776 of the family's 1533-position model. The record is from RNAcentral.